Hypomesus transpacificus is the source of this 922-nucleotide long non-coding RNA. RefSeq lists it as uncharacterized. The transcript is spliced from 2 exons. The record is from RefSeq and is a predicted model, not a curated record. NCBI's taxonomy places the organism in Eukaryota, Metazoa, Chordata, Actinopteri, Osmeriformes, Osmeridae.
CCAAAGGUCAAAAAAUAAAGUGAGAGAGGAGGUUAUGGGUGGGCUUGAAGUUAGCUAGCCAGCUAAAUAGCUAACAAUAUUAUUUUCUUUCAGUGAGUUGUUGAAGUGAAAAGUAUGUACGUUGAAAUUAGCAGAGGAUGCUGUUUUGUUAAUGUCUUGGUGUAGACAUUGAAGCUCGUGUUGUGUCUCUGUGGCUGGUGGGAGGAAAGUUGUUUUCUCACCCUGAGGCUGUUCCUACUACCUGGCUGUUUGGAGCUGUAAACAUCCCCGACUGGAAGCUGUCCACCAACAGAGCUUUCAGUCAGGUGUUUGCUACUGCUGACUUGCCUUUAGCUCCAAGGAAACAGACACUACCGCUAUGCUGCUGGACCACUGCUGGACGUGUAAAUAUGGCAUCCCAAUGUCCUGGUAAUCACAUUGGAUCCUUGUGGCUUAAAAGAUGGAUCACAUAAGAACCUUCCGUGUCCACAUCUCUCACAUCACCCUGAAGUCUGCGCUUGAAAAUAUCAGGAAGGAUGAGAACUUAGAGUGAAAUCAGACUUUAGUUAAUGUAAACAUCCUACACUCAGCUGUGACCUAGCAGCAGAGGCUGGGAGAAGGCUGUUUACUUUAACUGGCUUGGACUCACACGCAAUGGCGAUGUAAGCACUGUGUUCUGUCAAUGCAAGGUCAUAUGCCACUAAACUAUCAGCGCCGUCAGCCACCACCAUCACAGCCUCGCCAACUAUCAACUGCAACAAUGACCCUGUUGACCUUGUCCCUUCUGCAUUCAUCAAUCAAAAGUGCUUUUAAGGCAACACUCCAUUUUUAUAUUGGAGCACCUUUUGUUAUGGUCUGAUCAACUGUUGGCUUUUUUAUUGCAAAAUGUUGUCAUUGCUUUAAAUAUUACAUAUUUACAAUAAACAAUAUAUUGCUGCAAAAA